AGUCAGGUUGCAGAAAGGACACUGCAGGCAGCAGGGUCAGAGGUGCAACAGGGAGACGAGCUGCCUCCUAGGCUGUAGAGUCUGCUUUUUGGUUACCAUGGGCAAUGGCCAUGUCUUCUUUUUGAUGUCCUUUGCAGUGAAUUACAGCCACCUGCUGGCAGUGCUUGGGCCUACAGUAUAUCCAUCUCUGUAGUGAUGGCAGCACCAGCCUUUUGAACUCCCUGCUCAAGGAAGCUGCUACCAUCUCUAAACACGGUGGCUUCUGCCUCCUUUAAAGAUACCUCUUGGAGAUCAGGUCGGCCAGAUUCCGUAGUCUCCAACGGUUCUUGGCAGUCAUGGACAGGUAUAGUAAGGUAGGACACUCUAAGAAGACAAAGCUGGGCCUUUUUGGCCGAGAUCCAAUACCUGAGCACCUGAAGGAGGUUUCUGGACCGGCAAAAAUGGAGUAUUCCAGGUGGAUUGACAUGGUAGGGAGGCAAUACAGGAGGAGCCAAGGGAGCUGAGGAUCCGGACAAAAGUGUGUGGUCUCGCUUAAAAUGACCUUGGAGGUAAGAUUAUGAAUGGCACAUGAGCGGAGCCAAGGGGGAGGGCUCCGGACCAAUCUCAGCCAUUGAUCAAUGUAGGGAAACGGAUCGGGGUGACCGGGAGUUCCAGCAACGACCCGCCACACAGCCUGAAGAGCUGUGAGAUUCAGUGACCCUUCUGGGGGCCACACGGUUCCAAACUGUGGUCAUUCUACUUCACAGAGUAUCUGGAGUUUGCCUUUUUUAAGGUGGACCCCAUAAUUCUCUGAGAAGCCUAGGGAGAAAUUUUGUAACAUACAUUGGAGAGGGCUCCAAUCUUUAUGAGGCUGGGAAGAAGAGUUUCCCAUUCUGGAGGCAAUUUAAAAAGGUUUCAGCAGAAAUAUUAAACCCAGCACAGACAGAGAAAUUCAAGACCUGGGGGGCUGCAGUAUCAGAAGAACAGAAGUAUUAUAACCAGAAGAAGAAGGAAAACAACCAUAGUCAACACUUCUUGCCACAUAAGGACGGUCUGUUUAAGCUUUGAGAUCUAGGGGGAGGACAAGAGGCAGGUCUGAGGCCAGUGGGACCUACGUGAUCCCCUCCUUUUUGUCCUAUAGCCUAAAUAUCUUUGGUGUCUCCAUGACUUGAAGGCAAAAAGUUCAAACUUGGCCUUU
Molecule: long non-coding RNA, 1177 nt
Organism: Homo sapiens (human)
Lineage: Eukaryota; Metazoa; Chordata; Mammalia; Primates; Hominidae
Exons: 4
Source: RefSeq, a predicted model, not a curated record